This 248-nucleotide long non-coding RNA is filed under the name Ananas comosus (pineapple). Its description in RNAcentral is "long non-coding RNA (ACOM_LNC000991)". The record is from RNAcentral. Lineage: Eukaryota; Viridiplantae; Streptophyta; Magnoliopsida; Poales; Bromeliaceae.
AAAACAUAUAAGGCGUCUAAGAACAACAAUAAUAAAAGCAAUAAUAAAAGACAUCUAGGAGUAUCAGAGCAUAAUAAAUGUCUAAAUGUUACAACAAGGGAUAAGGAUAAAACUGUAAAUCCACUAAAUGAAACAUAAAGUGAUACAAGAAAAUUCCAGAUACAAGUGCUAUAGGUAGAUACAAAGGUGGUCUCUAUACUUGGAUACCAAACCUCUCACUCUCUCAACUACAAAAAGGAAAGAGUAAA